AGGACUAAAAUAAAAUAAAAUGGA
Molecule: microRNA, 24 nt
Filed under: Zea mays
Lineage: Eukaryota; Viridiplantae; Streptophyta; Magnoliopsida; Poales; Poaceae
Description: microRNA miR-3245
Source: RNAcentral